Molecule: ribosomal RNA, 996 nt
Filed under: Mycolicibacterium anyangense
Lineage: Bacteria; Bacillati; Actinomycetota; Actinomycetes; Mycobacteriales; Mycobacteriaceae
Description: bacterial SSU rRNA
Rfam family: Bacterial small subunit ribosomal RNA
Source: RNAcentral
UGUCAGACGAACGCGGCGGCGUGCUUAACACAUGCAAGUCGAACGGUAAGGCCUUCGGGGUACACGAGUGGCGAACGGGUGAGUAACACGUGGGUGAUCUGCCUGCACUUGGGAUAAGCUGGGAAACUGGGUCUAAUACCGAAUAUACCCUGCUGGUCGCAUGGCUGGUGGGGGAAAGCUUUGCGGUGUGGGAUGGGCCCGCGGCCUAUCAGCUUGUUGGUGGGGUGAUGGCCUACCAAGGCGACGACGGGUAGCCGGCCUGAGAGGGUGACCGGCCACACUGGGACUGAGAUACGGCCCAGACUCCUACGGGAGGCAGCAGUGGGGAAUAUUGCACAAUGGGCGCAAGCCUGAUGCAGCGACGCCGCGUGAGGGAUGACGGCCUUCGGGUUGUAAACCUCUUUCAGCAGGGACGAAGCGCAAGUGACGGUACCUGUAGAAGAAGGACCGGCCAACUACGUGCCAGCAGCCGCGGUAAUACGUAGGGUCCGAGCGUUGUCCGGAAUUACUGGGCGUAAAGAGCUCGUAGGUGGUUUGUCGCGUUGUUCGUGAAAACUCACAGCUUAACUGUGGGCGUGCGGGCGAUACGGGCAGACUGGAGUACUGCAGGGGAGACUGGAAUUCCUGGUGUAGCGGUGGAAUGCGCAGAUAUCAGGAGGAACACCGGUGGCGAAGGCGGGUCUCUGGGCAGUAACUGACGCUGAGGAGCGAAAGCGUGGGGAGCGAACAGGAUUAGAUACCCUGGUAGUCCACGCCGUAAACGGUGGGUACUAGGUGUGGGUUUCCUUCCUUGGGAUCCGUGCCGUAGCUAACGCAUUAAGUACCCCGCCUGGGGAGUACGGCCGCAAGGCUAAAACUCAAAGGAAUUGACGGGGGCCCGCACAAGCGGCGGAGCAUGUGGAUUAAUUCGAUGCAACGCGAAGAACCUUACCUGGGUUUGACAUGCACAGGACGCCGGCAGAGAUGUCGGUUCCCUUGUGGCCUGUGUGCAGGUGG